CCCAAGAAGGAUUGUCUUUCAGGAGGCAUGGAAAAUAUGGAGAUCUAUAGAUCUAACAGAAAACACCGGACCCAGGAAUGAAGUAGAAGCCUUGACUACUGAAGGAUAUGGGCCUGGUUGAUCCACUUCAGAUUCAUCCCCUGUUUUAUUAGAGGUUGAAAAAGGUUCAAGACCUGGUUGUACCACAGCUCCCACCGACAGCUAAGGAACCAGUUUGGCGUCUGGUUUGUCUGUUGUUUUACUGCUGACCUUCGGAUCAACUUUAACCCCUGACCUCUGGAGGCAUCUAUCAUGACAAGAGGCUGUUUAACACAAAUGGUGCCCAUUUAUAGGGGAAGAGACUCAGAAGAUUUCCUUUUUAUGAAGAAUUUAGUUUUUCACCCCUCUUUUCUCAGUCACCACAGGUGAAAUCCCUCUUAGCAGCUGGCUUAUGAAAUAAUGUGAAGGGAGGCCUUAAUGAGCAGAAAGCACCCUCAGCUGGAGAUAAAUAUAUGCAAAUGAGAUGCACAAACAAAGGAGCCUGGACAGAGAAAUAUCUGCAAUUCCAGCAAAAUGCUGCCUGCAGCUCGAAGAUGAACAGCUUUGAUAAAAUGUGGGAAAUAUUCCUUACAUAUGCUGAUGUCUCAGAUGCACCAAUCUGCAACAAGCAACUAGGAUAAAAAAUAGUUAAAAUGAAUCAACAUUUAUCCGGAAUAUACAGUCUGGACCCACUCCCCCCCCCCAAAAAAAAACGUCAUUCGUCUUCUGGGUCCUGUGAUGUUUUGAGGAUUCUGGCAAAUACGGCAGUUAAACAAACUUCUCGCACAAUCUAAAUACAGUCUGUUCAAGAGAGGCUUCCAAUGUUUAUAGAUCAUAAGUAAAGGGGAAAAAAUCUGGUAUUUAACCAAGAAUAGUGCUCUUGAAAAUGUCUCUGAACAAAGUGUUUAAGCAAAACUUUGGCCACAGAUAUUCUCAAUUCUCAUUCUUCCUCUGAUUUUUCUUUUUUCAGUGAAGAAUUUUCAUAUGCCAUCAUUUUGUUCCUUUA
Long non-coding RNA from Nycticebus coucang (slow loris), 1024 nucleotides. RefSeq lists it as uncharacterized. The transcript has 3 exons. NCBI's taxonomy places the organism in Eukaryota, Metazoa, Chordata, Mammalia, Primates, Lorisidae. The record is from RefSeq and is a predicted model, not a curated record.